GAUGAACGCUGGCGGCGUGCCUAACACAUGCAAGUCGAACGGAGUCCAGCCUUUAAGACCUUCGGGUCAAAGAGGGGAAGACUGAGUGGCGGACGGGUGAGUAACACGUGGGCAACCUGGCUCAUAGAGGGGGAUAACAGAGAGAAAUUUCUGCUAAUACCGCAUAAGCACACACUGCCGCAUGGCAGAGGGUGAAAAGAGAAUCGCUAUGAGAUGGACCCGCGUCUGAUUAGCCAGUUGGCAGGGUAAGAGCCUACCAAAGCGACGAUCAGUAGCCGAUCUGAGAGGAUGAACGGCCACAUUGGGACUGAGACACGGCCCAAACUCCUACGGGAGGCAGCAGUGGGGGAUAUUGCACAAUGGGGGGAACCCUGAUGCAGCGACGCCGCGUGAGUGAGGAAGUAUUUCGGUAUGUAAAGCUCUAUCAGCAGGGAAGAUAAUGACAGUACCUGAAUAAGAAGCCCCGGCUAACUACGUG
RNAcentral lists this ribosomal RNA (478 nucleotides) under uncultured bacterium. Its description in RNAcentral is "partial 16S ribosomal RNA". It matches the Rfam family "Bacterial small subunit ribosomal RNA", at positions 28 to 507 of the family's 1533-position model. The record is from RNAcentral.